AAACUGUAUUGCCAACCGACAAUGAGCCCUGAUGGAAAACUUGAGUUUCUAAUGACACUCUUCGAGGAGGUCUAUUAUUUUUCAUUCUUGCAAUUGGUUCACGCGCUUUAAUUUUAUACCACCCACGUUGUCGUUUUGCGAUAGGACUUCUUAUUUCAAUCUGAGGAAUAACAAAUUCUGUUGGUUUUUUCGUGGGUGAACUUUCUAUAGCAUCUCUUGAUCGUUUUCCUGGUCUUUGAGACAAGGAUGACGCAAAAUUUGACAAGAAAUCAAAGGUAUCUGAAGUAGAGGAUGUUGGGCUGUCUUCAUUUUUAGAGAUUUCACUUGGAACAGUCUUGGAGGAAGCCAUAGCUGCAAUGAAUCAUAGGCGUGCUAGUAUUUCUAUGAAAUUCUGGUGGAGAAGUCAGUGGACCACAAUUAUUAUUAAACAAAGGUGAUUCUUCUGAAGUUGAAGGUGGUGUCCCCAGUAUAGAUUUCUGCUCUCCAGAUAUUAGCGAAUGAUGACGUUGAGAUUUCCACCAUUUGCAAGGACCUUUAGAAAAUAUUACGUAUAGAAUCAAUGGAUGAAUAAAGCGUUAACGACUCAUGACAUACAGAAUUAUUCAUGUUCAUUCAUCAAUGUUCAUAUAGAAUUAUUACUUGCACUCGAAAUCGUUCCGCAUUCUUAAAGGAUCAUAUACAUAGCAUACAUUUUUAUUGGAGAUAAAUAAAUGUUCAGGCAUCGUGUCAUCAUAAAUCUAUAUGGAUUCUUAGAAUUAAAUCAUUCUCUCAUUUAUUGUCGAUAUUCUAAAUCUUUAAAUACUCGAUAUCUUUCUCUCGAUUA
Long non-coding RNA from Apis dorsata (giant honeybee), 823 nucleotides. RefSeq lists it as uncharacterized. The transcript has 2 exons. The record is from RefSeq and is a predicted model, not a curated record. NCBI's taxonomy places the organism in Eukaryota, Metazoa, Arthropoda, Insecta, Hymenoptera, Apidae.